RNAcentral lists this non-coding RNA (32 nucleotides) under Mus musculus (house mouse). The record is from RNAcentral. Lineage: Eukaryota; Metazoa; Chordata; Mammalia; Rodentia; Muridae.
UCAUCUACCUUAACUAACAGCUGUGCCUCCAC